RNAcentral lists this small RNA (1820 nucleotides) under Cryptococcus neoformans H99. RNAcentral's name for it is "Cryptococcus neoformans var. grubii H99 hypothetical RNA". Lineage: Eukaryota; Fungi; Basidiomycota; Tremellomycetes; Tremellales; Cryptococcaceae. The record is from RNAcentral.
CCAUUUUCCGUUUUCUUCACACCACCACUGCCGUCAACUUCUUCCUUUUCCUUAUUAACAGGAAGACCAUCAAGGCCUAGAGUGACUUCUUCGGCAAUAAUGCCAGUGUCGGUAGUGCUCGAUAAGGGCGAACCACGUGAAAGGUUGGGAAUAGAAGAGAGGAGGUGUUGGGCUGCAAGCUGACCCCCUUUGAAUCCCGCUUGGAGGUAUGUAUCUUGGAACUAAUAAUCUUGACGUUAGCAACUUGUAAAGAAGACAAGCGUAAAGCUUCGAAUAGAAGGUUUUGCACUCACUAUAAGACCGUCUCCGUCGAUUAAUACCGCAGUGAACGAUGUUCCGACGUUCUAAAGUCGAUACACAUUAGUCAAUUCCUACUUUAUUGCACACGCUUGGAGAUGGCGAGGUGAAAAGGAAUGGUAAGGGGAAGGGAAAAAUAAGAGGCGGAAAGCUCCAUCCCCAUUCCACCCACUUUUUCCUCCAACCUCUUCCUCUCCCUCUCCGCCCGUGCCCACUCGGAUUUCCACAUUUCGACUUCCUUACGAAGCCUUUCUACUUCAUCCGCUUGGGCCACCAAUGGGUUAAGAAGGAUGGUUAGGGAUUCAAGGUGACGAGUUAUCUGGGUUGCGGUAGUAUCGUUUUGCCCGCCGGCCCCGGAUGCCAAAGUGGUCGGAGCCGCUGUAUGGUUUGGUGUUUGAGGUUGUGCGUACGAUUGAGAUUGGGACGGUGUUUGAUUCCCAUAUGUCGAAGACGGGAGAUAAUGAUGAUUACUCGGAGAAAGAGAAGAUCGGUACUGAGCAGAAGAGACGGGUGAGAUCUUGCCCAUAAAAGGUUGAUAACCAGCAAACGUCCCCGUAGUCGCCUUGGACUGCGUGCUCCCGCCCACAGGCCCUCCUAUACCCAUCCCUUUUCCACCCAAACCCAAACCCGAACCCGAACCCAAACCCAUCCCUCCUCCACCGAGACCUACACCAAACCCUCCAGGAGCAGGCGACCCCCUUCCCUGUCUCUGCACCGUACCCAUACCCAUACCCAUGCCCAUACGCAUGGCAUUCCGGUCCCAAGUCUCCUCAUCAAACCUCUUCCCACCUUCCCGGCUCUCUCUUUCCCAACGUCUGCGAAAAUCGUCGAUGCCUCCGGUUACAUCAUCCUUACCUUGGGAUUGGUAUUGAUGUUGGAAUUGGAGUUGGGAUGGUACUUCUGAUUGUGACUGCGACUGUGAUUUCGAUUGAGACUGAGACUGGGAAGGGGGGUGAGAGCGUACCUCCAGUCCGGAGGAGAGCCCCGUCCGAUGUAAUCGCGUUUGCACCAACAAAUUCGUCAAAUCCGACUCUACAUCCGCUUGAUCCCUCCUUUCUCCCAUCACCACAUCCCUAUCCCUAUCUCUAUCCCUACUCAUGUCCCUAUCACGAUCGAUCGGCGUCCUAGGUCGAAUUCCUAAUUGUCGUUGAGAUGGGCUCGCCGCCCUCAACUGACGAGGAUAUGCAGCCGCUGGCGCGGGCGCAGGCGAAAGAUUAUUUAUAGCUUGAGGUUGUUCGCCGAUAACACCUAUAGAUGGUGAAGGCUGGCCUAUCGCGCCGUGCGGGUUUAAGUUUAGGUGGGACUCGAACAUCCUUUUUUUUAUUUGUUUGGUGGUAAUUCGUGGGGAGACGAAAACCGUUUACUAUGGUUACAAGUCUGGUUUUGUUUUUUCUGGGCUGGAAUGAUAUCAGCUAUUUGGAAGCUGAUUGAAUCGCUUACUUACUGUUAUAAGCAGGGUAUUGUUUUCCUUUAAUACGUUGGAUUCUUUAAGCUAUGGCUAUAAAUCUGGUGAUAUGCCCGAC